Molecule: unclassified non-coding RNA, 248 nt
Filed under: Cryptodiscus epicladonia
Lineage: Eukaryota; Fungi; Ascomycota; Lecanoromycetes; Ostropales; Stictidaceae
Description: partial contains 5.8S ribosomal RNA, internal transcribed spacer 2, and large subunit ribosomal RNA
Source: RNAcentral
CGCACAUUGCGCCUUUUGGUAUUCCGAGAGGCAUGCCUGUUCGAGCGUCAUUUGUACCCUCAAGCUCUGCUUGGUAUUGGCGGCCGCCCCGGUUGGGGUGCCCCCGAAACGCAGCGGCGACGUAGCCGGACCCCCUGGCGUAGUGACACUUGCUGUCGCCCCGGGGCCAUCGGUCGUGCGUCAGCCGGACAACGCCCAAUUUUCUGAAAAUCGACCUCGGAUCAGGUAGGACUACCCGCUGAACUUAA